CAGUAGGGAAUCUUCCACAAUGGACGCAAGUCUGAUGGAGCAACGCCGCGUGAGUGAAGAAGGUUUUCGGAUCGUAAAGCUCUGUUGUUGGUGAAGAAGGAUAGAGGCAGUAACUGGUCUUUAUUUGACGGUAAUCAACCAGAAAGUCACGGCUAACUACGUGCCAC
This 167-nucleotide ribosomal RNA is filed under the name uncultured bacterium. RNAcentral's name for it is "partial 16S rRNA". It matches the Rfam family "Bacterial small subunit ribosomal RNA", at positions 352 to 511 of the family's 1533-position model. The record is from RNAcentral.